Molecule: small RNA, 74 nt
Filed under: Pelobates cultripes (western spadefoot toad)
Lineage: Eukaryota; Metazoa; Chordata; Amphibia; Anura; Pelobatidae
Source: RNAcentral
CCAGUAACUGACCUCAUGCUGAUGAGUUGCAUUAACAACGAAACAGCUGUCCUUGAGUAGUUUACUGACUUUGC